GAACGCUGGCGGCGUGCUUAACACAUGCAAGUCGAACGGAAAGGCCCUGCUUUUGUGGGGUGCUCGAGUGGCGAACGGGUGAGUAACACGUGAGUAACCUGCCCUUGACUUUGGGAUAACUUCAGGAAACUGGGGCUAAUACCGGAUAGGAGCUCCUGCUGCAUGAUGGGGGUUGGAAAGUUUCGGCGGUUGGGGAUGGACUCGCGGCUUAUCAGCUUGUUGGUGGGGUAGUGGCUUACCAAGGCUUUGACGGGUAGCCGGCCUGAGAGGGUGACCGGCCACAUUGGGACUGAGAUACGGCCCAGACUCCUACGGGAGGCAGCAGUGGGGAAUAUUGCACAAUGGGCGGAAGCCUGAUGCAGCAACGCCGCGUGCGGGAUGACGGCCUUCGGGUUGUAAACCGCUUUCGCCUGUGACGAAGCGUGAGUGACGGUAAUGGGUAAAGAAGCACCGGCUAACUACGUG
RNAcentral lists this ribosomal RNA (465 nucleotides) under uncultured bacterium. RNAcentral describes it as "partial 16S ribosomal RNA". It matches the Rfam family "Bacterial small subunit ribosomal RNA", at positions 31 to 507 of the family's 1533-position model. The record is from RNAcentral.